RNAcentral lists this ribosomal RNA (1262 nucleotides) under uncultured prokaryote. Its description in RNAcentral is "bacterial SSU rRNA". It matches the Rfam family "Bacterial small subunit ribosomal RNA", at positions 118 to 1381 of the family's 1533-position model. The record is from RNAcentral.
UAUGUAAUCUGCCCUUAAUUGGGAAAUAGCUUCGAGAAAUCGGAAUUAAUGUCCCAUAGCACUGCGAAGAGGCAUCUCUUUGCAAUUAAAGCUUUUGCGAUUAAGGAUGAACAUGCGUGAUAUUAGUUUGUUGGUGAGGUAACGGCUCACCAAGACUACGAUGUCUAAGGGGUCUGAAAGGAUGAUCCCUCACACUGGUACUGAGACACGGACCAGACUCCUACGGGAGGCAGCAGUGAGGAAUAUUGGGCAAUGGACGCAAGUCUGACCCAGCCAUGCCGCGUGCAGGAUGAAGGCUCUAUGAGUCGUAAACUGCUUUUGCACGAGAAGAAAUUAUCUUACGCGUUAAGGUAUUGACGGUAUCGUGUGAAUAAGCAUCGGCUAACUCCGUGCCAGCAGCCGCGGUAAUACGGAGGAUGCAGGCGUUAUCCGGAUUUACUAGGUUUAAAGGGUGCGUAGGCGGGAUAGUAAGUCAGUGGUGAAAUCCUUCAGCUUAACUGAAGAACUGCCAUUGAAACUAUUGUCCUAGAGUGCAGUUGAGGUAGGCGGAAUGUGUAGUGUAGCGGUGAAAUGCUUAGAUAUUACACAGAACUCCGAUUGCGAAGGCAGCUUGCUAAACUGUAACUGACGCUGAGGCACGAAAGCGUGGGGAUCAAACAGGAUUAGAUACCCUGGUAGUCCACGCCGUAAACGUUGAUUACUCGUUGUUGGCGAUACACAGUCAGCGACUAAGCGAAAGCAUUAAGUAAUCCACCUGGGGAGUACGACCGCAAGGUUGAAACUCAAAGGAAUUGACGGGGGCCCGCACAAGCGGAGGAACAUGUGGUUUAAUUCGAUGAUACGCGAGGAACCUUACCUGGGCUUGAACUCAGUUUGACAGCUGUUGAAAGAUGGUUUCCCUUCGGGGCAGAUUGAGAGGUGCUGCAUGGUUGUCGUCAGCUCGUGCCGUGAGGUGUCGGCUUAAGUGCCAUAACGAGCGCAACCCCUAUUGUUAGUUGCCAGCGGGUAAUGCCGGGAACUCUAAUAAGACUGCCAGCGUAAGCUGUGAGGAAGGUGGGGAUGACGUCAAAUCAGCACGGCCCUUACGUCCAGGGCUACACACGUGUUACAAUGGCCAGUACAAAGGGCAGCUACUUGGUGACAAGAUGCUAAUCUCUAAAACUGGUCUCAGUUCGGAUCGAAGUCUGCAACUCGACUUCGUGAAGCCGGAUUCGCUAGUAAUCGCACAUCAGCAACGGUGCGGUGAAUACGUUCCCGGGCCU